This 497-nucleotide ribosomal RNA is filed under the name uncultured bacterium. RNAcentral describes it as "partial 16S ribosomal RNA". It matches the Rfam family "Bacterial small subunit ribosomal RNA", at positions 28 to 507 of the family's 1533-position model. The record is from RNAcentral.
GAUGAACGCUGGCGGCGUGCCUAAUACAUGCAAGUCGAGCGAACAGACGAGGAGCUUGCUCCUCUGACGUUAGCGGCGGACGGGUGAGUAACACGUGGAUAACCUACCUAUAAGGCUGGGAUAACUUCGGGAAACCGGAGCUAAUACCGGAUAACAUGUUGAACCGCAUGGUUCAACAGUGAAAGACGGUUUUGCUGUCACUUAUAGAUGGAUCCGCGUCGCAUUAGCUAGUUGGUAAGGUAACGGCUUACCAAGGCAACGAUGCGUAGCCGACCUGAGAGGGUGAUCGGCCACACUGGAACUGAGACACGGUCCAGACUCCUACGGGAGGCAGCAGUAGGGAAUCUUCCGCAAUGGGCGAAAGCCUGACGGAGCAACGCCGCGUGAGUGAAGAAGGUCUUCGGAUCGUAAAACUCUGUUAUUAGGGAAGAACAAAUGUGUAAGUAACUAUGCACGUCUUGACGGUACCUAAUCAGAAAGCCACGGCUAACUACGUG